ACUGAAAUUUUUAAAUGGCCGCAGUAUACUAACUGUGCAAAGGUAGCAUAAUCAUUAGUCUUUUAAUUGAAGGCUGGUAUGAAUGGUUGGACGAGAUAUUAACUGUUUCAUAAAAAUUUAUAAUAGAAUUUUAUUUUUUAGUCAAAAAGCUAAAAUUUAUUUAAAAGACGAGAAGACCCUAUAAAUCUUUAUAUUUAGAUUAUUAUAAUUUUAUAGAUUUUUUUUGUUAUAAUAAUUCAUUAUAUUUUAUUGGGGUGAUAUUAAAAUUUAAUAAACUUUUAAUUUUUAGAAUCAUUAAUUUAUGAAUAAUUGAUCCGUUAUUAGCGAUUAAAAAAAUAAGUUACUUUAGGGAUAACAGCGUAAUUUUUUUGGAGAGUUCAUAUCGAUAAAAAAGAUUGCGACCUCGAUGUUGGAUUAAGAUAUAAUUUUAGGUGUAGCCGCUUAAAUUUUAAGUCUGUUCGACUUUUAAAUUCUUACAUGAUCUGAGUUCAAACCGGCGUAAGCCAGGUUGGUUUCUAUCUUUAAAAA
This 528-nucleotide ribosomal RNA is filed under the name Sarconesia chlorogaster. RNAcentral's name for it is "partial small subunit ribosomal RNA". It matches the Rfam family "Bacterial large subunit ribosomal RNA", at positions 1911 to 2650 of the family's 2925-position model. The record is from RNAcentral. Lineage: Eukaryota; Metazoa; Arthropoda; Insecta; Diptera; Calliphoridae.